RNAcentral lists this ribosomal RNA (482 nucleotides) under uncultured bacterium. Its description in RNAcentral is "partial 16S ribosomal RNA". It matches the Rfam family "Bacterial small subunit ribosomal RNA", at positions 30 to 507 of the family's 1533-position model. The record is from RNAcentral.
AUUGAACGCUGGCGGCAUGCCUUACACAUGCAAGUCGAACGGUAACGGGCCUUCGGGUGCCGACGAGUGGCGAACGGGUGAGUAAUACAUCGGAACGUGCCCGAUCGUGGGGGAUAACGAGGCGAAAGCUUUGCUAAUACCGCAUACGAUCUACGGAUGAAAGCAGGGGACCGCAAGGCCUUGCGCGGACGGAGCGGCCGAUGGCAGAUUAGGUAGUUGGUGGGAUAAAAGCUUACCAAGCCGACGAUCUGUAGCUGGUCUGAGAGGAUGAUCAACCACACUGGGACUGAGACACGGCCCAGACUCCUACGGGAGGCAGCAGUGGGGAAUUUUGGACAAUGGGCGCAAGCCUGAUCCAGCCAUGCCGCGUGCAGGAUGAAGGCCUUCGGGUUGUAAACUGCUUUUGUACGGAACGAAAAGCCUUCUUUUAAUACAGGAGGGUCAUGACGGUACCGUAAGAAUAAGCACCGGCUAACUACGUG